Molecule: ribosomal RNA, 250 nt
Filed under: uncultured bacterium
Lineage: Bacteria
Description: partial 16S ribosomal RNA
Rfam family: Bacterial small subunit ribosomal RNA
Source: RNAcentral
UACGUAGGUCCCAAGCGUUAUCCGGAAUUACUGGGCGUAAAGCGUCUGUAGGUGGAUAAGUAAGUUUUGUAUGAAAGACCGGAGCUCAACUUCGUGUUUGUAUAAAAUACUGCUUGUCUAGAGUCAGGGAGAGGUAAGUAGAAUUGUAUGAGUAGGGGUGCAAUCCGUAGAUACAUACAAGAAUACCAAAAGCGAAGGCAACUUACUGGAACUGUACUGACACUGAGAGACGAAAGCGUGGGGAGCGAAA